GGGGGUAUAGCUCAGUUGGUAGAGCGCUUGCAUGGCAUGCAAGAGGUCAGCGGUUCGAUCCUGCUUACCUCCACCA
Molecule: transfer RNA, 76 nt
Filed under: Kingella kingae
Lineage: Bacteria; Pseudomonadati; Pseudomonadota; Betaproteobacteria; Neisseriales; Neisseriaceae
Description: tRNA-Ala
Rfam family: tRNA
About the family: Transfer RNA (tRNA) molecules are approximately 80 nucleotides in length. Their secondary structure includes four short double-helical elements and three loops (D, anti-codon, and T loops).
Source: RNAcentral